RNAcentral lists this ribosomal RNA (809 nucleotides) under uncultured euryarchaeote. RNAcentral's name for it is "bacterial SSU rRNA". It matches the Rfam family "Archaeal small subunit ribosomal RNA", at positions 49 to 859 of the family's 1478-position model. Lineage: Archaea; Methanobacteriati; Methanobacteriota. The record is from RNAcentral.
GCAUGCUAGUUGCACGAAUUUAGAUUCGUAGCGGAAAGCUCAGUAACACGUGGCCAAACUACCCUAUAGACCAGCAUAACCUCGGGAAACUGAGGCUAAUACUGGAUAAUGCUCCCAGGUUUGAACACCGGGAGCUGGAAACGCUCCGGCGCUAUAGGAUGUGGCUGCGGCCGAUUAGGUAGACGGUGGGGUAAUGGCCCACCGUGCCGAUAAUCGGUACGGGUUGUGAGAGCAAGAGCCCGGAGAUGGAUCCUGAGACAAGAAUCCAGGCCCUACGGGGCGCAGCAGGCGCGAAAACUUUACACUGCACGACAGUGCGAUAAGGGAACUCCAAGUGCGAGGGCAUAUAGUCCUCGCUUUUGUGUAUCGUAAGGUGGUACACGAAUAAGAGCUGGGCAAGACCGGUGCCAGCCGCCGCGGUAAUACCGGCAGCUCAAGUGAUGGCCAAUAUUAUUGGGCCUAAAGCGUCCGUAGCCGGCCGAACAGGUCCGUCGGGAAAUCUGCUCGCUCAACGAGCAGGCGUCCGACGGAAACCAGUUGGCUUGGGACCGGAAGACCCGAGGGGUACGUCUAGGGUAGGAGUGAAAUCCUGUAAUCCUAGACGGACCGCCGGUGGCGAAAGCGCCUCGGGAGAACGGAUCCGACGGUGAGGGACGAAAGCUAGGGUCACGAACCGGAUUAGAUACCCGGGUAGUCCUAGCUGUAAACGAUGCUCGCUAGGUGUGGCACAGGCUACGAGCCUGUGCUGUGCCGUAGGGAAGCCGAGAAGCGAGCCGCCUGGGAAGUACGUCCGCAAGGAUGAAACUUAA